CAGGCUUAACACAUGCAAGUCGAGGGGCAGCAUGGUCUUAGCUUGCUAAGGCCGAUGGCGACCGGCGCACGGGUGAGUAACACGUAUCCAACCUGCCGUCUACUCUUGGACAGCCUUCUGAAAGGAAGAUUAAUACAAGAUGGCAUCAUGAGUCCGCAUGUUCACAUGAUUAAAGGUAUUCCGGUAGACGAUGGGGAUGCGUUCCAUUAGAUAGUAGGCGGGGUAACGGCCCACCUAGUCUUCGAUGGGUAGGGGUUCUGAGAGGAAGGUCCCCCACAUUGGAACUGAGACACGGUCCAAACUCCUACGGGAGGCAGCAGUGAGGAAUAUUGGUCAAUGGGCGAGAGCCUGAACCAGCCAAGUAGCGUGAAGGAUGACUGCCCUAUGGGUUGUAAACUUCUUUUAUAAAGGAAUAAAGUCGGGUAUGGAUACCCGUUUGCAUGUACUUUAUGAAUAAGGAUCGGCUAACUCCGUGCCAGCAGCCGCGGUAAUACGGAGGAUCCGAGCGUUAUCCGGAUUUAUUGGGUUUAAAGGGAGCGUAGAUGGAUGUUUAAGUCAGUUGUGAAAGUUUGCGGCUCAACCGUAAAAUUGCAGUUGAUACUGGAUAUCUUGAGUGCAGUUGAGGCAGGCGGAAUUCGUGGUGUAGCGGUGAAAUGCUUAGAUAUCACGAAGAACUCCGAUUGCGAAGGCAGCCUGCUAAGCUGCAACUGACAUUGAGGCUCGAAAGUGUGGGUAUCAAACAGGAUUAGAUACCCUGGUAGUCCACACGGUAAACGAUGAAUACUCGCUGUUUGCGAUAUACUGCAAGCGGCCAAGCGAAAGCGUUAAGUAUUCCACCUGGGGAGUACGCCGGCAACGGUGAAACUCAAAGGAAUUGACGGGGGCCCGCACAAGCGGAGGAACAUGUGGUUUAAUUCGAUGAUACGCGAGGAACCUUACCCGGGCUUAAAUUGCAGAUGAAUUACGGUGAAAGCCGUAAGCCGCAAGGCAUCUGUGAAGGUGCUGCAUGGUUGUCGUCAGCUCGUGCCGUGAGGUGUCGGCUUAAGUGCCAUAACGAGCGCAACCCUUGUUGUCAGUUACUAACAGGUUCCGCUGAGGACUCUGACAAGACUGCCAUCGUAAGAUGUGAGGAAGGUGGGGAUGACGUCAAAUCAGCACGGCCCUUACGUCCGGGGCUACACACGUGUUACAAUGGGGGGUACAGAGGGCCGCUACCACGCGAGUGGAUGCCAAUCCCCAAAACCUCUCUCAGUUCGGACUGGAGUCUGCAACCCGACUCCACGAAGCUGGAUUCGCUAGUAAUCGCGCAUCAGCCACGGCGCGGUGAAUACGUUCCCGGGCCUUGUACACACCGCCCGUCAAGCCAUGGGAGCCGGGGGUACCUGAAGUGCGUAACCGCGAGGAGCGCCCUAGGGUAAAACUGGUGACUGGGGCUAAG
Molecule: ribosomal RNA, 1438 nt
Filed under: uncultured organism
Description: 16S ribosomal RNA
Rfam family: Bacterial small subunit ribosomal RNA
Source: RNAcentral